Vicugna pacos (alpaca) is the source of this 552-nucleotide non-coding RNA. Lineage: Eukaryota; Metazoa; Chordata; Mammalia; Artiodactyla; Camelidae. The record is from RefSeq and is a predicted model, not a curated record.
AGGGAAUACUGGGAAAGGGACUCUGAAUAGACGUAACACAAUCUCUAGAAGCUGUCCACAAUUAGAGGGACAGGCUCUCAGCAGCCAAGAACGCCAGGGAACGGACUGAGCAGCUCAGUUCACGCCCAGGCUUGGUCAGAAUGAGGUGCAUCUGGCAGCGAGCAACUGACGCCGACAACUUGUUACGCACUCUGAGACUGUUGUUGAACCUUAUCGCAACCAGCUUCACUCGGCUGUAAAUACUCAGCGUCUGGGCUGAGAGACCAACUAGCAAUUGAAUAGAACAGGACGCCUUUGUGAAGAUUCCAGAACCCAGGAGUGAGGCUGAAGCAUACCCUUGGAUCGCAGAAACUAAGAAAAACUGCAUUAGAAGGAUGGGCAUGGCAAUCUUGGAAUUCUUGUGUUGAAGGUGGAGCCACGGAGGGAAGGAAUCUUGAGUCUCCAAGUCAUCACUUAGAGGAGAGCUGCCAGCCAGUGAAGAAAAUCUCUUUUGGACUUUAUACAAGUAAGAAAUAAACCUCUCUUAUGCUUGAGUGGUAACUCAGCUUUGCA